UACAGAGGUCUCAAGCGUUGUUCGGAUUCAUUGGGCGUAAAGGGUGCGUAGGCGGCGCGGUAAGUCAGGUGUGAAAUCUUGGAGCUUAACUCCGAAACUGCAUUCGAUACUGCCGUGCUUGAGGACUGGAGAGGAGACUGGAAUUUACGGUGUAGCGGUGAAAUGCGUAGAUAUCGUAAGGAAGACCAGUGGCGAAGGCGGGGCUCUGGACAGUUCCUGACGCUGAAGCACGAAGGCCAGGGGAGCAAACGGG
RNAcentral lists this ribosomal RNA (253 nucleotides) under uncultured bacterium. RNAcentral describes it as "partial 16S ribosomal RNA". It matches the Rfam family "Bacterial small subunit ribosomal RNA", at positions 524 to 776 of the family's 1533-position model. The record is from RNAcentral.